AUUGAACGCUGGCGGCAGGCCUAACACAUGCAAGUCGAGCGGAUGAAGGGAGCUUGCUCCUGGAUUCAGCGGCGGACGGGUGAGUAAUGCCUAGGAAUCUGCCUGGUAGUGGGGGAUAACGUCCGGAAACGGGCGCUAAUACCGCAUACGUCCUGAGGGAGAAAGUGGGGGAUCUUCGGACCUCACGCUAUCAGAUGAGCCUAGGUCGGAUUAGCUAGUUGGUGGGGUAAAGGCCUACCAAGGCGACGAUCCGUAACUGGUCUGAGAGGAUGAUCAGUCACACUGGAACUGAGACACGGUCCAGACUCCUACGGGAGGCAGCAGUGGGGAAUAUUGGACAAUGGGCGAAAGUCUGAUCCAGCCAUGCCGCGUGUGUGAAGAAGGUCUUCGGAUUGUAAAGCACUUUAAGUUGGGAGGAAGGUCAGUAAGUUAAUACCUUGCUGUUUUGACGUUACCAACAGAAUAAGCACCGGCUAACUUCGUG
This 484-nucleotide ribosomal RNA is filed under the name uncultured bacterium. Its description in RNAcentral is "partial 16S ribosomal RNA". It matches the Rfam family "Bacterial small subunit ribosomal RNA", at positions 30 to 507 of the family's 1533-position model. The record is from RNAcentral.